CCUCAUUUAAGGGCUGGCUGCCACAGGGGUUGGCUCUCUACAUGGAGAUCCUUCCUUUUGGAGUAUUCUGUGAGCCCUACCUUGGGGCAGGUGCAUUCAGGGGGUGACUGAUGAAUACGGGAAGGUCAGAAGUGGCUGAGAUUGAAGUGAACUGGCACUUACUCCUCGUGCUUGCAUAGAUUUUCAAGCUCAUACCAAAGGCAUUCAAUCACCAUACACUGAAGUUUAUAUGAAGUUUGAAAUUUGGACAAUACGACUUAAGAACUGUUAAGGCUCAUCAUUCCUUGGUAUACAAAAAGUAAAAGUUACACAAUCAUGAAGCUCUAUUUAUAAUCCAUCAUUGUCAUGUUUGUCAUUCGUGUUUCCUGGGGAAUCUGGUUUUCUUCUAUUUCUAUCUAAUGCCACCCUUUAAAAAUGUGGUUGCUUUGAUAUUUCUGACUUCUUCUUUGGAAAAAAUUAUGAAGUGAUGCUGUCAAACAUUUCUUCUUUCUAUUUUUUUUUUUCCUAUUUGUAUUGAAUGUUUCCUUAUCAUGUAUUUCAGAAAGGAUCUUGAAAUGUUUCCCUGUAAGUCUGACCUUCCUGAGCAGUGGCUGGCAAAUGGUGUUCUUUGAUAUCCUCUAACCUAAUAAUCCAGCUGCCCAAGGUGGGUUUAAAAUGAAAUCCUGGUUCCAAUAAUAAAACUAUUACUUUAAAAUAUACAUGAGCAGGCCAUAGAAUCGGCCUUGAAUACCACAGAAACAUAAUACACAGUUUCUUCCUGUCCCCUGCAUUACAUUACUCCUCCCACCUUCUCCUUUCAUGUUUGACUGUGCUCUAAUAGAACCUGAACAUUGGUAGUAAUACAGUGCCAUGGUGAAUAAGUUUCUAUAAAAAUUUAUGUGCCAUCUGUGGACACCUUGGUUUGUUGCUGGUAGGAGUUUGAGGUUUUGAGGGGCUUGAUGGUAUUUUUUCCUUACAGAAACUGAUGAACAAGGUCUUUUAGGGAGUGGUAACUGGAACUGGAUGAUGUGGCAGGAUGUAGGCGAAAAAAGGACUCUUGCUUCCCUUAUUCCAUGGAUAAAGGGAGUGAAAACUUUACUUUUAAAUUUCAGAUGGCUUUUCCAGGGGUGAUAUCUGUUCCCAACCUUUUCUAGCAAAAUACAUGGGCACUGGGGAAUUCUAUAAGUACAGAUCCACUGCAAUAUGCUUAUUCUACAGUCACUGACACAAGUAAGAGUUUGCAUCUGUUUUAAGGAAGAGGGGCCAGACACCUACUCAGCUAAUUGGCAACUUGCUUAAUGUUCUGCCUGCUUAACUUCAUUAUUAGGAAAAGGAUCCCUUGCAGUGAAUAUUGAUGUAUCUAAAAAGUCAAUAAAUGAAACAUUUAAUUUUUUAAAAAUCCAUUUGUACAGCACACAGUAAUUUAAUUAAUUGUACUUAGGAACUGAUUGGGAUUGAUUAGUGCUCAUUGCACUUAAUGCUAUUUUCUCUUAUUAUUACUCAGUAACAUUGAUGGAAAAAGGGUAAAACUUCUGUUCUAGAAGUCAUUCCAAUAAGUAACAACACAUGUCAGAACUUUGAAGAGGUUAACAAUUCCCUGUACAGAUUUCUAUAAAAUGUUCAGAAGUGCUGUUUGUGAGAGUUCAGCAUACAAAAUAUGGGUAUAGAUCUUCAGCUGAUAUUUCCCCUGCAUAUGUUGGGCUGUGGUCCUUCUGCUCCCUGUUCCUGGCCGGGAGCUGAUCUUUAAUUCCUUUCUGUUCUUCCCCUAUUUCCAUGGCAGUUUUUAUUAUAAUUCUGGAUCCUACUGACACUGAAUUCAUCAGCAAAUCUGACUUCAGAGGCUUCAGGAUACAGCCUUGUGUUCUUCCAUUAGGAAAGUGCUUGCUCACCUUAUUGCCUUCAAAACGCUGUGGCGAAAGGAGGCUGCUCAGCAUCUCCCUACCUCCCAAAAUGAUGUUUUUACUUUCCAUUAGCCUGCUGCUUUCCCCCCAGCCUGGGAGAUGUGCUUAAAUGAUGAUUUUUUCAGUUUGAAAUAUCAGUUUGAUAUUUGCCAGAAGAGGGUUUCUCCCUACGUCACUUACUGAGCAGGAGCUGAUUCUGGGCCAGCUGCUCAGCAAUGCUGUACAGCAAGUAAUAGUAUAAAGUGUAGAAUGGAUAAAUACACUUCCAAGUGUGAAGUUACCAGUUCUGGAGUAUAAGCAUUCAAUAGGGCCUGAAAACUGGUAAGAAAAUGCUUCCACAAGUGUUGCAUCCAUUAGGAGUUUUGGAGGCUUUUUUAUAUACCUUCCCCUUUUUCCACUUAGCUGCUGACUUUUAUUUUUUUUACAAGCUAGCUCUCAGUGUCUUUAACAGGUAUUAAAAGACGUUAUGAGCUGUACUUUCUGGGGGAAGCAAAGUUCAGCUGAGUUGCAGCUCUUGUUACAAAGAGGACAGCAUUACAAUGUAUCAGAAGUCUAGACUAGACAAAAGUGGGGAAAAGUGUAGGCUUGAAGCACAGCUUGCUCUUAUUUUCUCAUUCGUCCUGGGGCAGGGCUCAGUCAACAGCUUUUCAUUUUAUAUCUCAUUUCUGCUCUGUGUACCAGAUAGGAACAACUCAAAGUGAGUGUGUUCUGUUGUGCACUAAAAUCCACCCACUUUGGGAGUGAAAAAACAGCAGAUGUUCCUCCCUGCUAUUGCUAUGGGAUCGUUUUGGAGCAUAGGCAGGCUUGGGGCUUCAACUCUAGCGUACAUGUAGCUCUUCACACUCUAUCUCUGCAUAAAAAGGGGUUAAUUCUUGUUCAGAAUUAGUAGUGUUUCAGUGAAUGCAUUUUUAUUGCCACAUUUCAGAUUAUGCAAGUGUAACAUCACAUUUUACAAAGCACUUAUUUUCUUUAUGGAAAUCUUGACAUCACAUUUCAAACAGACAUCUUUUUAUUGAAGCACAGCAGAUGUAUCAUGUGUAUAUCUCAGGUCAUCCAUUUUACUUGAUGUUCUGAGUAUGCCUGAUUCUUCCUUUAGCAACUUGCUUCACUGCAGCCCUGACUCUUCUAGAAGAGCAACUGGUUUGGCACUAUAGCACUGCCAUCUUUGUUUCUUAAACCAUCUAUGAAUACUUUCCCCUUUCCCUUCACACAGAUGGCUUGUGUACAGCAUGGGAGCAAUAUCUUUGAGCUGAGUAAGUAGAAGAAUGAUUGUAUUUAAGAGAGAAUGUUUUAUUGAAGAUGAGAUGAGGAAAAAGGUUGAUAAUCUCAGGCAAGGAAGACUGUAGAGAACACUUGCUUGGAGAAAAAGCGGGAUAGGCAGUGUUAAACUUGGCAGGAAGCCUUGGCCUCAAAUGACAGACCAAAUGUGAUUGUGGAAGUGUUUAAAAAACCCAACUAUCAGCUGUCAGGUCUGGAUAUCCUACUGAGCUUCUUUCGUGCCCAAAUGAUUGCCAUGGUUCUUGGGCUCAUUUCAUACAGUAAAAGAUGAGGCAGUAAAUGCUACCAUUUGUCGAGCGUUCCCAGUUCCUCUUAGGCUUUCCUGAAUUGUUUGUUUUUCAGAGUGUUGUAUUCUGCUUCUGUUGAAUACAAUAGAAGUUUUACUUCGUUUCCUUAAAGCUUCAGGACUGCAGACCAUGCAUUUUCUGAUUCUGUCCUUUGCAGGCAGAAGUUUAUUUUGCUAUUGAGAGGAAAGUAGGAUUUUUUUUCCAUGUCUCUUCCAGAUUAGUGGUAGGUGGGGCAGGGCACGCUACUGUCAUGCAGUCUGACAUAUAUUAAUAAUUUUAAACAAUUUUAAUUCCAUUAUUUUGCCUUGUCAAAAAAGAUGCCAUGACCAUUAGGACUUACUGCCUGUGGAAGAAGCACCUAAACCCCACCAAUAUCCUCCAUCUUACCAUUGCUUGAAGAGCUUAUCCGCUGAAUACUUUGCGGAGCUCCUAUGCAUGUGCAUCACAUUACUUUAAGGAAAUACCUGUGUAAGAAGUUUGUUAUGGCUGUCAAAUAUUACACUGCUAAUUCAGUUCUCACAAUGACACUGUGUUGGGAAACCUGCCAAAGAAAUGAUUGAACGUGGUGUAGAUAAAGCUAUGGGAAGAACAGUUUGUGCUCUGAGCGGAGAGAUAAUGAGCAUUUUUGAGAUGUAAUUACAAAUGCAAUUUUUAAAUCAUAGGAUAUUGUUUUGUAUGGUAUACAAAGCUAGGAGGAAGGCUUCUGAAUGUCGAGUUUGUUUCUUAAAUGUUUAAUUAAAUAUUAUCAGACUAAUGAUCA
This is a long non-coding RNA of Lagopus muta (rock ptarmigan), 4205 nucleotides long. RefSeq lists it as uncharacterized. The transcript is spliced from 3 exons. The record is from RefSeq and is a predicted model, not a curated record. Lineage: Eukaryota; Metazoa; Chordata; Aves; Galliformes; Phasianidae.